GACAGAGGAGCCAAGCGUUGUCCGGAUUGACUGGGCGUAAGGCGCACGCAGGCGGAUGCGCGCGUGGGGUGUGAAAUCUGGCCGCUUAACGGCCAGGCGCCAUCCCAUACGGCGCGUCUGGAGUGAUGCAGAGGUCGAUGGAAUUGCCGGUGUAGUGGUGAAAUGCGUAGAGAUCGGCAGGAACACCCAGGGGGAAACCAGUCGACUGGGCAUCUACUGACGCUGAGGUGCGAGAGCGUGGGGAGCGAACCGG
RNAcentral lists this ribosomal RNA (253 nucleotides) under uncultured bacterium. RNAcentral describes it as "partial 16S ribosomal RNA". It matches the Rfam family "Bacterial small subunit ribosomal RNA", at positions 524 to 776 of the family's 1533-position model. The record is from RNAcentral.